This 504-nucleotide long non-coding RNA is filed under the name Rattus norvegicus (Norway rat). RNAcentral's name for it is "long non-coding RNA NONRATT024968". Lineage: Eukaryota; Metazoa; Chordata; Mammalia; Rodentia; Muridae. The record is from RNAcentral.
AUAAAUUAGAGUGUUCUCGUGCACAUGCAAGGUUUUCUGCUUAUAUCGACACAUCAGGGUCAAACUGUGGAAAACAGUCUUUUCCUACCAUCUUUCCUCAGCUCGUGGGUAUGAAGUUAGCAUGUCUUGGACUGCUUUACCUUAGAAAGUUUGACUUUCAGAACUGUUGUUUGAGUUUCGUAGAAAUCAUUCAAUGAAUCAUGGUGUGGGAUUAGUACAGAAUCUGUAAUAAUUCUGAGGUGGCCCCAGUCAUCCUCCCAACAUUUUGUACUAUGCGUUUGUGAGAGGCAGCAUUGUUGGUAUUGACAGUCAUAGGAAUCACAAUAUUGACCAACUCUGGAAGACAUUGGAAGUGUUGUAGAUCCUACAAUAUCAAGUAUUCAGCCAAGAUUUGGUCCAACAAGCAUGGUGUCCAAUUAAUGUGCAAAUUUACUUUAAUCAUUAAUAAAUAUAUGGCAUAGAAUUGCUUUAAAAUAAAUUCCUUUAUGAUUUAUUAUCCGCAAA